AAUAUUGGACAAUGGGGGAGAGCCUGAUCCAGCCAUCCCGCGUGCAGGAAGAAGGCCUUCUGGGUUGUCAACUGCUUUUAUACAGGACUAAACCACUUUACGUGCAAGGUGCUGAAGGUAAUGUAUGAAUAAGCAUCGGCUAACUCCGUGCCAGCAGCCGCGGUAAUACGGAGGAUGGAAGGGGUAUCCGGAUUUAUUGGGUUUAAAGGGUCCGUAGGCGGGCAUAUAAGUCAGAGAUGGAAUCCGACAGGUUAACUGUCGAACUGCCUUUGAAACUGUAUGUCUUGAGUGAGAUUGAAGCAGCUGGAAUGUGUAGUGUAGCGGUGAAAUGCAUAGAUAUUACACAGAACACCGAUAGCGUAGGCAGGUUGCUAAGUCUUUACUGACGCUGAUGGACGAAAGCGUGGGGAGCAAAC
Molecule: ribosomal RNA, 416 nt
Filed under: uncultured bacterium
Lineage: Bacteria
Description: partial 16S ribosomal RNA
Rfam family: Bacterial small subunit ribosomal RNA
Source: RNAcentral